ACUGUAUCGAGGCAGGGCAUUUUGAACCAGAAGCAAAUUUCUCCAGUCAACUCUAUCAAAUCUAGGGAGCAUGUUGAUAUAUAGUUUCUGGAUUUGAAGUUUGCCAAGGCAACACACAGUCUUGAAUCUGUCAUCAAGGGUACCAUGUAGCUGCUGGUUUGCCAUAAGAUCCUCUCUGCAGUGAAUGUACGCACAACUUUUUAGUUUCCAAAAAAGAAAAGAAAAAGUAGGCGCUGCCUUUGUUAUAAAUAGCCAUAUGGCCUAGCCCCUGAACAAUGAAAUCUUGGAGGAAGAUGGAGAAACUUUCAUACGUUGAAGCUAUAUCUGAUUGGCGUGGCAGAUUCUACGAAGAUGAUUAUCUAUAUAUGAAUCUGCCACCCCAUUCAGAUCUGAUUUCAAUCUAUGAUUAUUAUCUAUUGAUCCAUCAGGUAUAUUUUAAAGUUCUUUGUUCAAUAAUUGUUUUCAGUAUAGUAGAAAAAUACAUAGCAUUAGGUGAUGCAUCCGAUACAAUAACGCAAAACUUGCGGUGCAUGAAUUUACGACAAAUACUGACAUGAACUCUUGGUCUAAUUAUUGCAGAAAUAAGGGCCAUCAUAACAAGUUAAUAAAGAAUGGAUCCAAGAAUUUUAACGUUCUGUAUCAUUCUAACCAAAUCUAAGUUUCAUACUUUUUCUUCAAUUUUGAGUCUUUGAAAUACGAAGCAGUAAAAGAAGAUGUUGACAUGGGAUAAGACCGUAAAUGCUUUGGCAAUUUAGCACUUGUUUUUCCACGGUGAUGGUCAGAAGAAAUUUAGUACUAUUUGUUAAGCCAAGAAAUCAUAUUGUACAUAAAUGUAGUAGCUCUUACUAGUUAUAAUUCAGAUGGGAGCAGCUGCGCCGAGCCUCUCC
RNAcentral lists this long non-coding RNA (887 nucleotides) under Nicotiana benthamiana. RNAcentral's name for it is "long non-coding RNA (NBEN_LNC003819)". Lineage: Eukaryota; Viridiplantae; Streptophyta; Magnoliopsida; Solanales; Solanaceae. The record is from RNAcentral.